This 1499-nucleotide long non-coding RNA is filed under the name Podarcis muralis (Common wall lizard). RNAcentral's name for it is "lncRNA (ENSPMRG00000002415.1)". Lineage: Eukaryota; Metazoa; Chordata; Lepidosauria; Squamata; Lacertidae. The record is from RNAcentral.
AUGCUUUCAAAUAAAGGCCGGGUGGUUUUAUUCCAAAGGAAGUUGAUCUUGCAGAGGGGAGAUUUCCCACCUUGUCUGAAGGAGAGAAAGGGGACCACUCUCACUCUCACUCUCCUCUCCUGUCCCCAAAUCUGUUCUGGACAGUCCUCUGGAGCAGAUUUGUUAAUAAUGAAUGGCGUCCAGGAAGGAAAGGAAGUGGUGGAAAGCAAAAGCCAUCAAUUACCGACAGAACGAAACUUCUGCAGUCAACCAGUGAAGGAUCGCUGCUGCCUUGACAGCAGGUUGCAGUAAAAUAUGGCUGUGAUUAGAAAUUGUAAAUAUAUAUAAGGCAGAGGGAAAUCGGAGGCUAUUAGGCAGGCGAUUAAUACAAGACUCAGACAGGUGUCACCAUUUGCAAGGCAGGCCGAUGAGAUGGUGGCUUCGAGGUUUGGCUAUUCCCACAGCCGCCAAUCACUCUGGUCCGCUCUCUCCUUAAUAGUCUCUCUUUCCGUUCGUUGCGGGAGCUCAUUAUGCAUUUCGAGCCCAGAUGUGCAAAGAGGCUGCUGGACUAGGACCAGGAGAAAAGGAGCCAGCACCGCCAUCUUAUCAGGAGGUCCAUUCCUGUUGUGGCUCCCAAACCCUUUGGAAUCCCCUCCCCGUGAACAUACUACACAGGAUCCAGAAAGGACCUGCAACUAAUUCAAAACACCAGCGAGCUGGUUAUCUGACCACACUCCUUAAGAAAAGCCUUGACUGAUGCCCAAUGCAGUCUUGGAAGCCCACAACAAUAAGGUGGUGGUCUCUUUUAAUAAAAAAGGGAUAAACUAUGACCGGGUCUCUCGGUUUUAUUUUAGAAAAAAAAAGCAUUGCUUUGAGUAAACAAUCAGUAUUAAAACACAAAGGAGAACUGACAGGCAGAGAAAACGCAUCGUCACAAACAAUCUUAAAGCAAAAUACUUCAUUUAAAAAUAAUAGGGGCUGCUCCCUUCCAAAAUAGGGGGGGUGGCGUGGGAGAGAAAAUGCUUUAAUUCAACUUUUGCCAAGCUGGUACCUGCCAGGUAUUUUGGUAUACAACUCCCCCUUGCUGGCUGGGGCUGAUGGGAGCUGUAGUCCAAAAGAGUUCUGUUAAAUGUUCCGGAGAAUGGAACAGGAAACGCAGUUUAUGAGCACAUCCUGUUUGUUUAUUUGUUUACAAAAAGUUGUGUCUCCUCCCCUGCCCCCCCCAAACUUCUACCGGGGGCCAUGGAGGUCUGCUAAGCAGCCUGCUGGAAUUCUACAAAAUGCCCCAGUGAUGUCCGCAUUUGGGGUGGGACAGCUGCCUCCAUCGUUGUGUCACGAUAGUGCGAAAAUUGUGCCUGUUUAAUUAUUCCUGGCUUUCAAAAUGGCACGGCAGCCCCGGCAGCCACACUCUGGAGAACCGUGCAAUUUAUUGCCAUUGUGAAACGAGCCUCUCUCCUCUCCCCUCGGGUCAGCAGCCCCUUCCUUUUUCUGACCCUGCUGGGGGGACCGGGACGGCCGGA